Molecule: long non-coding RNA, 1094 nt
Organism: Polypterus senegalus (gray bichir)
Lineage: Eukaryota; Metazoa; Chordata; Cladistia; Polypteriformes; Polypteridae
Exons: 2
Source: RefSeq, a predicted model, not a curated record
ACUCUAAGACCCUGCUGCAAGGCACAGCAUGCAACCCGGAACAAGCUGAUUUUGGACACAGAUGUAUUUUGGACACAAGAGUUCAUAAAAAGAAUACUGAUCUUUUGGGUAUUAGAAUCUCAGAACAAAGGGAGACACUGACUGCUUAAAAACAGCAAUGGAUAAGGAAAGAGAAGUAAUUUCUAGAAACCCAGAACAAAAGGAAUUCAAAUGUGAAAGCUACAAAGAGGGCAAAAAUGUACUAAAGGACCAGUUUUGAAAGAGGUCAGAUCUUCACAUCAUUUAGUCUUACAGAAUUAUCGAUGUCUUGCCUGGUGUUCUGAAUGCACAUAAGCCAUUUUUCUUUUCACUGGGACUGCUGAGCUAUUGUCUUGCUUUCAGCCCUCCUCCCCAUACGGAGUAGAUUGCUCCAUGAAGAUACAAAUCUAAUCCACAUUCUUGCAGUCGACUCAGAAGCAUGCACAAUGUCAUUUUAUUCCUGAUGCAGUCUAUGAUAACCAUCAGGGCUCUAUUAAAAUUACUUUGUAAGAAAAUGGGCACCUCUGCUGUAACAUUACAUGAGAUAAGACGUCUUGAAGAGAAAGAAGAAAAAGAGGAAUCUGUCUUGGCCAUGCUGGGCAUCAUUGGUACUGUGCUCAAUCUGUUUGUGAUUGUGUUUGUGUACAUAUACACCACUCUGUGAAGCAGAGGCACUCUUACAGGACCAGCUGGGGAAAAAAUAUCACAGCCUAUACUAGACAAGAACGAUUUCAAAGAAGCAGGAAUUCAGACUGUUGAACAGCCAGGCUCCCCAGUGAGGCUGCAGCAAGAAUCAUGGGAAUAUCAAUUAAACACCGAUGGAAACCCCUGGUAAUAAGACACUGAGGAGAAGCUAUUAACAACUACAUCUAACUACAAAAUGAAAAACAAAAUACUUGUGGUGAAAAAUGGAAGGAUAUAAAACCGAAUGAAGAUAAAAUAACCUCUCCCUCUCUAUAUUUAUAUUUUUUGUUAUCCUGGGAACAUUACCUUCACCUUCUUUUGUGCCUGGAAGGGAAAACAAACAUGCCAAUGGAAUAUUUUGGAAUAUACAAGUAAAAAAAAAAAAAAAAAAA